GACGAACGCUGGCGGCGUGCCUAAUACAUGCAAGUCGAGCGAAGCGGCGGAUGGGUGAGUAACGCGUGGGUAACCUGCCCUUAAGCCUGGGAUACCAUAUGGAAACAGAUGCUAAUACCGGAUAUUCAAGGAGGGUCUUGCGAGGCAUUAGCUGGUUGGAAAGGUAACGGAUUACCAAGGCGAUGAUGCAUAGCCGAGUUGAGAGGAUGAUCGGCAACAUUGGGACUGAGAAACGGCCCAAACUCCUACGGGAGGCAGCAGUAGGGAAUCUUCCACAAUGGACGAAAGUCUGAUGGAGCAACGCCGCGUGAGUGAAGAAGGUUUUCGGAUCGUAAAGCUCUGUUGUUUGUGAAGCGGUAAUCAACCAGAAAGUCACGGCUAACUACGUGCCAGCAGCCGCGGUAAUAC
Molecule: ribosomal RNA, 408 nt
Filed under: uncultured bacterium
Lineage: Bacteria
Description: partial 16S ribosomal RNA
Rfam family: Bacterial small subunit ribosomal RNA
Source: RNAcentral